This 253-nucleotide ribosomal RNA is filed under the name uncultured bacterium. RNAcentral's name for it is "partial 16S ribosomal RNA". It matches the Rfam family "Bacterial small subunit ribosomal RNA", at positions 524 to 776 of the family's 1533-position model. The record is from RNAcentral.
UACGUAGGGAGCAAGCGUUGUCCGGAAUCAUUGGGCGUAAAGGGCGCGUAGGCGGUCUGUUAAGUCAAGUGUGAAAAUCAUGGGCUCAACCCAUGAAGUGCGCUUGAAACUGGUGGACUGGAGUACAGGAGAGGAAAGUGGAAUUCCUAGUGUAGCGGUGAAAUGCGUAGAUAUUAGGAAGAACAUCGAUGGCGAAGGCAGCUUUCUGGCCUGAAACUGACGCUGAGGCGCGAAAGCGUGGGGAGCAAACAGG